UCGAGAAUCAUUCACAAUGGGCGAAAGCCUGAUGGUGUGACGCCGCGUGGAGGAUGAAGGUCUUCGGAUUGUAAACUCCUGUCAUUGAUGAGCAAGGCUUCCCCGAUAAAACCGGGAGGAGUUUGAUAUUAGUCAAAGAGGAAGAGACGGCUAACUCUGUGCCAGCAGCCGCGGUAAUACAGAGGUCUCAAGCGUUGUUCGGAAUCACUGGGCGUAAAGGGUGCGUAGGUUGUUUCUUAAGUUGGAUGUGAAAGACCGGGGCUCAACCCCGGAACGGCAUUCAAUACUGGGAGACUGGAGGGUUCGAGGGGAGUCUGGAAUUCACGGUGUAGCAGUGAAAUGCGUGGAUAUCGUGAGGAACACUAGUGGCGAAGGCGGGACUCUGGAGAACACCUGACACUGAGGCACGAAGGCCAGGGGAGCGAACGG
This 429-nucleotide ribosomal RNA is filed under the name uncultured bacterium. RNAcentral describes it as "bacterial SSU rRNA". It matches the Rfam family "Bacterial small subunit ribosomal RNA", at positions 355 to 775 of the family's 1533-position model. The record is from RNAcentral.